RNAcentral lists this long non-coding RNA (1070 nucleotides) under Eucalyptus grandis. Its description in RNAcentral is "long non-coding RNA (EGRA_LNC001184)". The record is from RNAcentral. Lineage: Eukaryota; Viridiplantae; Streptophyta; Magnoliopsida; Myrtales; Myrtaceae.
AAGUAUUUAAGAACAACACACUAAAGUAACUACUUAACUGCAAACGAAGCAUUAUGAAAGGUGUGAGCUAUAAGAUAUCUGCUAUUGGUAAUAAAGAUCAUGAAAUCGUACCAAGUUUUAACUUAAAAGAUGCCAUAUUCCAUUCACUUGGGCAUCCUCCUCCUAGUUGAGACACACCCCAACUGCCAUACUUCAAGCUUCUCAACAGUUUUCCAUUCUGCUUCAUAUUUAUACCCUGUUAGAAUGAUUAUACCACAGUGUGCAUAACUGCUGCAAGCACUAGCUUGUCAAAAGCAGCACCCUGCACAUUUAUAGUUCCAUAAAGACAGCUACUUUGGUAAGUAGCAUUCAUUAUAUAUAAACAACUUCUUUUCUCAGCAAUUCUUGUGGAUCCAUCUCUAUUGAUUGACUGCAAUCCAUGAGGUGGAUGAUUAGUAUUAAACUGGUAGAAAUCUCAAAGAAACAUAAUUAGUAUUAAACUGGUAGAAAUCUCAAAGAAACAUAAUUGCAGCAUCCUCAGCCAUGUACUCAGCCAUUCUACUCAUGACCAAGCCGCUAUAGCUUGAUAAAAACAUAACCAGUUAUUUACAAACUUUUCCACCCACAAGCAUAAUUGAGGCACACACAAAUCCCAUCAUUUAAGGGUCACCUAAAUUAUUACCUUCCUAAUUUGACUGAACUGAACAAAUUUACUAACAAUUGAAAGAAACUAUUAAUUUUCAUGAAAAUGAGCAUCUCAUGGAUGAAUGCUUCAGUACGACACCAUCCACCUAGACCAUAGAUUCUAACCACAAGCUAGACCCCAGUACACACUAUCCUGUAAUUUGUCGUUGACAAUUGAAAUAGUUUCAACCAUUGAUGACAACAUUAGCAGUGAAGUAAAAAUCUUGUCCUACACGAGAAUGCAAUUGAGCACAUCAAUAAGAUUCAACUCCUAAAGUAUAUAAAUCUAUUAAAUGAGCAUACUAAUUCUGUAAGAUAUGUGAUUAAAAUAACUCACUGCUGAUUUCACUAAUUAAAUAUGAGUCAAUCAAUUUCCUUGAUUCAUAAUUUAACUCAUGCAUCAAACA